CGCAAGCCUGAUGGAGCAACACCGCGUGAGUGAAGAAGGGUUUCGGCUCGUAAAGCUCUGUUGUUUAAAGAAGAACACGUAUGAGAGUAACUGUUCAUACGUUGACGGUAUUUAACCAGAAAGUCACGGCUAACUACGUGCCAGCAGCCGCGGUAAUACGUAGGUGGCAAGCGUUAUCCGGAUUUAUUGGGCGUAAAGAGAGUGCAGGCGGUUUUCUAAGUCUGAUGUGAAAGCCUUCGGCUUAACCGGAGAAGUGCAUCGGAAACUGGAUAACUUGAGUGCAGAAGAGGGUAGUGGAACUCCAUGUGUAGCGGUGGAAUGCGUAGAUAUAUGGAAGAACACCAGUGGCGAAGGCGGCUACCUGGUCUGCAACUGACGCUGAGACUCGAAAGCAUGGGUAGCGAACAGGAUUAGAUACCCUGGUAG
Molecule: ribosomal RNA, 426 nt
Filed under: uncultured bacterium
Lineage: Bacteria
Description: bacterial SSU rRNA
Rfam family: Bacterial small subunit ribosomal RNA
Source: RNAcentral